GAACCUGAUGAUCAAUUUAUCAUACUUUGUAUGUUGGAAUUACCGGCUGAAAAAUAAUGCUGAGAAAAACUGGCUGUUUCUGAUC
RNAcentral lists this small nucleolar RNA (85 nucleotides) under Colletotrichum chlorophyti. RNAcentral's name for it is "A. fumigatus snoRNA Afu_300". It matches the Rfam family "A. fumigatus snoRNA Afu_300". The record is from Rfam by way of RNAcentral. Lineage: Eukaryota; Fungi; Ascomycota; Sordariomycetes; Glomerellales; Glomerellaceae.